This 504-nucleotide long non-coding RNA is filed under the name Mustela putorius furo (domestic ferret). Its description in RNAcentral is "lncRNA (ENSMPUG00000024676.1)". Lineage: Eukaryota; Metazoa; Chordata; Mammalia; Carnivora; Mustelidae. The record is from RNAcentral.
CAAGCCUGCAUUUUGCAUUUUAAGAAAUUUUCUGUUCUUCUUUCUUAUAAAAUCCUAUGGCAGACUCUUGACAGAAAGUGCUUUCACAAAAACUGACAAACUGUGUCUAAAUAGAAAGUUCACAGUUACAACAUCUGGCUUUGUUUGUAUUUCGUUGAGCUAAGUGGGAAGAUUCAACCACCCAAGGGGUUGUCUGCCUAGUCAGCAGGACUGCAGGAGCCAAAGGCAGAGAGAGGGAGGCAAGGUGUGAAGGAAGAGACACCCUGUCAAUCAGAGCACUGCACUGGAGAACAAGGACCUGGGAAGAGCGACUAUAGCACCGGGACAGCAUGAGGAAGUCUGGCGCAGUGAUUUCAGACAAGAAAAUGUCUAUCUUGACUGAACAUGCUUCACUGAACACUGGCGAGUGUUUGCUUGACUGAACACUGGUGAGUAAGAAAGCCAAUGUGAGAAGGUAGGUAGAAACUCUUGUGUUGUCUUGUUGUAAUCUGGUAAAAUGUGGCU